UAUAGGACAACGGGUCAAGAGUUACUUCGGGUUUCCUUUAUCCCAAGUAAAAAAGAAAUAAGUUUUGAUGAUCAGGGAAUUGAACUUGAUAGUUGAGUGGUUACGCUAUCCUAUUUUUAUGGUUGUCUCAAAAUUGUUUUUGAGCAUUUACAUCCGUUAUGCUGCCCAAUUUUGUCUUCAGAGCUCUAAUGCUUUUGCAUUACUCUCUAUUUUCAGAUACCUAGCCGUCCUUCUCGUCAGGUGGUUCGUCUGACUAGAUGCAUUGA
This 266-nucleotide long non-coding RNA is filed under the name Hordeum vulgare. RNAcentral's name for it is "long non-coding RNA (HVUL_LNC009486)". The record is from RNAcentral. Lineage: Eukaryota; Viridiplantae; Streptophyta; Magnoliopsida; Poales; Poaceae.